Molecule: ribosomal RNA, 485 nt
Filed under: uncultured bacterium
Lineage: Bacteria
Description: bacterial SSU rRNA
Rfam family: Bacterial small subunit ribosomal RNA
Source: RNAcentral
ACUCAAAUGAAUAGACGGGGACCCGCACAAGCAGCGGAGCGUGUGGUUUAAUUCGAUGCUACACGAAGAACCUUACCAAGGUUUGACAUGUAAGUGGUAGUGAUCUGAAAAGUGAACGACCCUUCGGGGAGCUUACACAGGUGCUGCAUGGCUGUCGUCAGCUCGUGUCGUGAGAUGUUCGGUUAAGUCCGCUAACGAGCGCAACCCUCACUGUGUGUUACAAGUGUCACACGGGACUGCCGGUUUUAAGCCGGAGGAAGGCGAGGAUGACGUCAAGUCAGCAUGGCCUUUAUAUCUUGGGCUACACACACGCUACAAUGGUCUGUACAAUAGGUUGCCAAGCCGCGAGGCGGAGCCAAUCCUAAAAGCAGGCCUCAGUUCAGAUUGCAGGCUGCAACCCGCCUGCAUGAAGAUGGAGUUGCUAGUAACCGCAGGUCAGCUAUACUGCGGUGAAUACGUUCCCGGGUCUUGUACACACCGCCCGU